UUUUCUCAUCUAUAUAGGGCGUACCCAGUGCAGGAGGCUCCCGUCACUGUGGGGUCUAGGGAUGGUCAUAACGUACACAGCCUUAGCCCACUUCACGGAGAGGCUGUUUCCCUACUCGAACCUGGGACCACACGGUCACGAUGGAGCAACCAUACUGUUCCACCGAGGUCU
This is a long non-coding RNA of Telopea speciosissima, 171 nucleotides long. RefSeq lists it as uncharacterized. The transcript is spliced from 4 exons. The record is from RefSeq and is a predicted model, not a curated record. NCBI's taxonomy places the organism in Eukaryota, Viridiplantae, Streptophyta, Magnoliopsida, Proteales, Proteaceae.